RNAcentral lists this ribosomal RNA (254 nucleotides) under uncultured bacterium. RNAcentral's name for it is "partial 16S ribosomal RNA". It matches the Rfam family "Bacterial small subunit ribosomal RNA", at positions 524 to 776 of the family's 1533-position model. The record is from RNAcentral.
UACGGGGGGAGCAAGCGUUGUUCGGAUUUACUGGGCGUAAAGGGCGCGUAGGCGGCCAGCGCAAGUCAGUUGUGAAAUCUCCGGGCUUAACUCGGAAAGGUCAACUGAUACUGCGCGGCUAGAGUGCGGAAGGGGCAACUGGAAUUCUUGGUGUAGCGGUGAAAUGCGUAGAUAUCAAGAGGAACACCUGCGGCGAAGGCGGGUUGCUGGGCCGACACUGACGCUGAGGCGCGAAAGCCAGGGGAGCGAACGGG